AGCUUGGCACGGCCCGUGCUAGCAUUGGCACGGCCGUGCCACCCUCCAGAGUUGCUUUUGCUGCUUUUGCUUAGAUUUUAAGCUACUCUAUUUUUAGCCCAAAUGUAAUAGCUUAGAUUUUAAGUCGAAUAAAUGCUAUAAAUAGAGUAGCCAUCCAUCACAAAUAUUCAUCUUUUCUUGGAAUGCAAUAUGUGACAAUUGUCUUUCUAAUAAAAGUUCAUUUUACUUUCUUGCUAUUUACUUUUAUGUUUUCUCUCUUCUUCUCCUUGUCUACAAUGAACGUCAGUGAGUAGACUUCUCUUGUCUUGGGAUUGUUGGAUAAGUCUAAUGACAUAAUCCUAAUCAAACCAAGCUUUAAACCUUAAUCUUAUGUAACCCUAAUUCCUUAUCUAAAUUCACCGCUUUAACAUGGAUCAACCAUUAUCAAACUGUGGAAACGAAAGUGGAGGGUUUGAUAAUUGUUUAUCCAUCAUCUCAAAUAUCAAUUCAUAAAACGAAAGUGGAGCUUUGAUAUUCGAAAAAGUGAAUUUAGACAAGGAUUGCAAAGUCAGCGAAAUAGGCUUUGAAAUCUUUGAGACAUAUAGUUUCGAUCUUCAAGGGAACUAAUAACAAUCAAGUCAGCGAAAUAAGCUUGGUUGUUAGAGGAACCAAAAUCUAAUAGUAAUCAAGUCAGCGAAAUAGGCUUGGUUGCUAGAGGAACAAAAGAGAAACUGUCUUGAGAAAUUAGUUCUAACAUAAAGUUAUAAGUUUAAUAGUUUGGUUUGAGAAGGACUUGUCGUUAGGAUGAACCAAUAACCCCAAGACUUUUAUCUUUUAUUUUAUUAUUUGCUUUUAAUUAAAAACCCAAACUUUUCUACCUUGUAAACCUUUAGUCCAAUCAUUAUCUAAAGUUGAUUGAAUUCAUAACUCCUUGUCGGAACGAUACUCUAUUUUUACUACUUCGAUAGGACCGUGCACUUGCGGUUUUAUCUCAUCAGUGUAUUCAAAGUCAGAGGAGGAGCAUGCUGAGCAUUUGAGGAUUGUGUUGCGUGUUUUGAAGGAGAAUCAGUUGUUUGCUAAGUUGUCUAAGUGUGAGUUUUGGUUUUGGGAAGUGAGUUUCCUUGGUUAUGUGAUUUCGAAAGGGUGUAUUGUCGUGGAUCCGUCGAAGGUUGAUGCAGUGUUGCAGUGGGAAUCACCUCUGUUUUUUAGGUUAGAAGCUUUCUUGGAUUGACAAGUUAGUAUCGGAGGUUUAUGGAGGGAUUCUCUAAGUUGGCGUUGCCAUUGACGCAGUUGACUCGGAAAGGACAAGCUUAUGUUUGGGAUGCUAGUGUGAGAAGAGUUUCCAAGAGUUGAAGAAGAGGUUGACUUCAGCUCUAGUAUUGAUUUUACCGAAUCCGAAAGAAUCGUUUGUUGUGUAUUGUGAUGCUUCUAAGAUGGGUCUUGGUGGUGUGUUAAUGCAGAAUCGUCAGGUUGUGACUUAUGCGUCGAGGCAGUUGAAAGUGCAUGAGAAGAACUAUCCAACUCAUGAUUUGGAAUUGGCGGCCAUUGUGUAUGUGUUGAAGAUUUGGAGCCAUUAUCUGUAUGGUUCUAAGUUUGAAAUGUUCAGUGACCACAAGAGAUUGAAGUACUUGUUUGACCAGAAAGAGUUGAAUAUGAGGAGACAAUAUGGUUGGAGUAUCUUAAGGAUUUUGACUUUCAGUUGAGUUACCAUCCCGGGAAGGCGAAUGUGGUGGCAGAUGCUUUGAGUAGGAUGCCGUUGCAUAUGUCUGCUUUGAUGGUUAAAGAGUUGGAGUUGAUUGAGCAGUUUCGAGAUUUGAGUUCGGUUAGUGAGUUGACACCGGAGGGUGUGAGGUUAGGAAUGUUGAAGCUGACGAGUAAUAUUUUGGAAGAGAUUAAGAAUGGUCAGAAGGAAGAUUUGGAACUUGUGGAUCGAGUGGUGUUGGUUAAUCAAGGUAAAGGUGUGGAUUUCAUAUUAGAUGAGAGGUGUUUUGAUGUUUCGUGAUCGAGUUUGUGUACCAGAUGUUCUUGAGCUUAAGAGACGGAUUUUGGAAGAAGGUCACAGGAGUAGUCUGAGUAUUCAUCCAAGAACAACUAAGAUGUAUCAGGAUUUGAAGAGGUUGUUUUGGUGGCCUGGAAUGAAGAAGGAGAUCGCGGAAUUUGUUUAUGCUUGUUUGGUUUGUCAGAAGUCUAAGAUUGAACAUCAGAAAUCGUCGGGUUUGAUGCAAUUGUUGUUUGUGCCAGAGUGGAAGUGGGAUAAUAUCUCAAUGGACUUUGUUGGAGCGUUGCCGAAGACUGUGAAAGGUUUUGAUUCGAUCUGGGUGAUUGUUGAUCGGUUGACGAAGUCGGCACAUUUUCUUCCUAUCAAGAUCAAUAUGUCUGUGGCGAAGUUGGCUGAGAUCUACAUUGAGCAAAUUUUUAGGUUACAUGGUAUUCCUUAUAGUAUUGUGUCGGAUCGGGAUCUGAGGUUCACUUCUAAGUUUUAGGAGAGUGUGCAAGCUGCUUUGGGAACUAAGUUAAGGUUGAGUUCUGCGUAUCAUCCCCAGACUGAUGGGCAGACGGAGAGGACUAUUCAGAGUUUGGAAGAUUUGUCGAGAGCUUGUGUUUUGGAGCAAGGUGUCAAUUGGGUCGAAUGUUUAUAGUUGAUUGAGUUUACUUACAACAACAAUUUUCCUUCUAGUAUCGGAAUGGCACCGUUUGAGGCUUUGUAUGGUAGAAGGUGUAGAACGCCGUUGUGUUGGUAUGAGUCAGGCGAAAGUGCUUUGUUAGGACCGGAGGUUGUACAAGAGACUACAUAAAAGGUUAAGAUGAUUCAAAAGAAGAUGAAAGCGUCUCAGAGUAGGCAGAAGAGUUAUCAUGAUAAGAGGAGGAAGGACAUUGAGUUUCAGGGUUGUGUUCAUGUGUUUUUGAGAGUGAAUCCUAUAACACGUGCUUUGAAGUGUCGGAAGUUGACUCCUCGUUUUGUUGGUCCGUUUGAGAUUAUUGAGAAGGUUGGGGUUGUAGCGUAUCAGAUUGUGUUACCACCGUCUUUGUCGAAUCUUCAUGAUGUGUUUCAUGUGACUCAGUUGCGGAAGUAUGUGUAUGAUACGUCUCAUGUGAUUCAAGUGGAUGAUUUGGAAGUAAAAGAUAAUUUGACCGUUGAGACUUGGCCAGUUAGGAUUGAAGAUCGCGAAGUGAAGCGUUUGCGUGGCAAAGAGAUUGUUUUGGUGAAUGUGAUUUUGGUUGGAUCAACUGGUGAGAGUGUUACUUGGGAAUCGGAGAGUAGGAUGAAGGUUUCGUAUCCGGAGUUGUUUCCUUCAGGUAAUUUUCGAGGGCGAAAAUUCUUUUUAGGGGGGAGAGUUGUAACAACCCGAUUUCCGCUAAAUUUAUUUUUAAUUGUUUUGAUAUGUGUUUAUAUACGUGAUUAAUUGCCUCUAUGUGUAUUUUGAUUGGAAUUAUUAGAAUUCAGUGUUAGAAGGGUAUUUUAGUAAGAGACAUUAUUAUUUUGGUAAGUUACUAGUGGGUUGUAGUAAUUUAUUUUAUAACCGGUAGAUUUCAUUGCUCUCAUUUGUUCUUCCACAACCUAUGUUUGAUAUACAAACACUUAAAUUUUUGUAUAUGGUCUUGCGCACUUGAACAAAUAUUAACAUAUCCAAUUGACAUUUUUUAAUACCUUGUUAUCAUCAAAACUCAAAGGAUAAUGUUAAGCACAUUUUGUUCCAACAAUGUCACCCUCGAUAAAUCCAAUGUCUGUGUAGUAGCCAACAACGAAGAAAUCCAUAAUUCACAAACCAAAGCAUGGAAAUCUUAGAGAACUCACUAGUGGUUUCUCACAAGAUGGAACUCGAGGAAACACACCAAACGUCAAAGUCACGAAGUCGGAUAAACUCCAUCAAGAUCUCAUUGUGACGGUGCAACACGAGUCUCAGAUGAUGGAAACCUAAGGCAGAUGUUUGCCUCGUGUAGAAAUCGCAAAAUUCCAACGACACGUUGAAGUCCCAAACUUAUGCAAAGGCACCAUCUCCAUAGCGCCAAGAUGCAGUCCAACCCCUCUCAUCCCGGGUUAAAAAAGAGGGAGAAACAAGGAGCAAAGGUGGAAUAUAAUAAUAGAGAGGGUCACAUCCAUCAUUCGCCAGCUAAGGUAAAAUAAAACACACAACUACAUCAAAAACUUCUCUCUCACGCGAAACAAAUAGGUGCAACACAUUUGUUAUGGCUUAUAAGCUUUUGAGGUUAGCUUUACUCUUGCAAUGUUUUUUCAGUUACAAAAGUUGUGAAAAGUGAACUAUGUAAGAAAAUGAAUAAUUGGUGGUCAAAUGAUUGUUUUGUAACUUUUAUAGAAAGAGAUAUUCUUUUAACAAUUAGCAAUAAUGAGAAAUGCUAACUUGUGUCUAAAAGAACACAAAUAAGAAAUCAAAAGUAAAAAUAAAAUCUUGGAAACAUUAUAUUCUUACUUAUAAAAACUUUAAAUUUUAUCUUUUUAACUUAUGCAUUUAUUGAUCAAUUCCUUUUUUAACUUUUUAACUUGUGCCUUGUGACACAAGUUAGCAUGACUCAUAUUAUUUUAAUUCAUUUUCAACAAAUAGAUAUGAGACAAUUUUCAUUGUAAUUGUAUUACAUCAAAUAUGUUAUUUCUUAUUUUUAAUAUAAUUAACAUUAUUAUUUCUUUAAAAUUUUAGUCACAUAUCUACCGAAUGUUUAGAUCCGUCCUUGAUAUGAUAUGUCUCUCACCUCACAAAAAUAAAAAAUUAUCAAACGUAUGUCAUAAUGUCCAUGCAAUGUGAACAGAGUGCAAGUGCCUCAUUUCUUCGACGUUGCAUAGUAUUAACAAAAAAGAAACAUCAUCCUGUAAAAAAAGAAACAUCAAGGUAGGUGCUGGACUUCAUACAUGAGAGCGGAUUUGACGCUGUAGAAGACAACUGAUGUUGAGACAAAAAAUAAACAUUCACUUCUAAAAAAGAAACACACACACAGUCAUACUCCACUCAUGCAUUCAGGAUAAUUUGACUCUCUAUCUUAAUUGGAUGGUUCAAAGAAAAGACGGAUUUGAUUUUUAUUUUAUAAUUAAAAUUCUAAUAUUAAAUCUGAACCUUCCGAUCAAGAUCGAACAGUUCUCAACGUCCAACUCUGUGAAUGCGGGUUGCUAUUGAUAUGUUGAGUAUUUUUUCAGUUGACUAGGUAUCCAGAUUGGAUUUGAUACAAAAGUGUCUCAUUUCUUUUUACGCUUCUUUUCAACAACAUCUUCCUUCAUUCAUUCUAUAUUCUCGUUUUGGUGAUCGAUCCUAGUCUCAGAUAGUUGAAAAGCUAAAAACAAGCUCAGGUAACACUCUCUCUCUGUCUCUCUUUCAAUUAUCUCAUAAUGUAGCCAGAGGAACCAGCUAUAGUUUUUGCAGGCUCGGCUCGGCCUUGAGGGUGUGCAAGGUGCUCAACCAGGCCGAGCCUCUAAAUGUUACGGGCCUCUAACGAAAAAUUAAAUUUAAUACCCACCCUCCAUUUAAAUAAAAAAUAUAUAUGUUAUAUCUUUAUAUCUUUUAAUACACGUUUGAUUUUUUUCUAGACUCUAGUUCUCCUUUUUGUAUAUAAAUCGGAUCCUAUCAAACCACCUAUAAUUUGUAAUCAGUCAAUUUUGAAAGUUAUUUCAUUGAAAGAAUCAUAACAAUCAUUUUUUUUUCGCAUAAACCAUUCGUUUUACCCUUUUUCCACAACAGAGGAGUGACAAAUCCAAACGACACCAUUAUAUAAAUUUCACCUCUUUCACUUAAUUUUUUUUAAUUCCUUCCAUGUUUAGAUCUUCUUCUGCUUCUGAUUUUUUUUAAUGAAAUUUAGCUACACAAAAAAAUUACGUUUUAUUUUACUAAGGAUCUAUUUUAAAAAGAGAGCCGAGCCUCCUAUUUCACGGGGACGGCCCUGAUUUUUGCUUAUCGAGAGGGUUGAGUCUUACAUUAAAUGUAAUAAAGCAAGAACAUAAUUUCCUUUUUUAGCAUCCUUACCUGGUGCCCUGGACACUGGUUAGCAUGACCCAAAAAAUUAUGAGCCAUUAGAAAAAUUAAUUACUUUUUUUUUUACGUUAAAGUUAAUUACUCUCUAAAGUUGCAGGCGCGGAGAUGUUUAAUUCUAAAAAAAGUAUUGGUUGUUAGAAAAGUUAAGUAGUCACUUGACAAAAAAAAAUAAGUUUAGUAGUUUCUUAUUUGGAUUAGUCACGGUACAUUUUUUUAAGGGUAUUCACAGUGCGUGUAUGUUUUGUUGAGAUUGUCUUGAAAUUUGUGGUCUGGAAGAACAGGGAAAUCGUGACACGAUUUUGGUAUCGUGACACGAUUUCGGGGUGCCGUGAGCUAGGUUGCAGGGUGCAAAAUCGUGUCACGAUUGUGGGAAAUCGUGACACGAUCGUGAAACUUGCUCGUUAAGUAUCCUUGAUAAGGACUGGUCGUUUCUUGGGUGGUACGCGGAUCGUGACACGAUUUGGAAAAUCGUGACACGAUUUCAACAGAGGAAGACUAGUAUAAAGUGUUCUUGUGCAGAUUUGAAGAAAGGGUUGGAAGAGAGAGAGACUUGGGAAAUCAAAGGGAGUAACUCUAGGGUUUAGGGUUCUUUGAUUAGAGUAUCUCUUGGGUUGAAAACAUGGGAAACACCUUGUAAAGAGAGAAUCAUUGAGUGUCUUGGUGAGAUUGGGAAAAGGGUAGAAAUUAGGGUUUGUUCAUUGUGAACUUGUCAAGCUAAUUUCUUGUAACCUUUUGUAUCCCUUUUGUAAGAACUCUUUGAUAGUGGAUUGGAGAGUACAAACUCUCCUCCAGAGUAGGUCAAGUUUGGACCGAACUGGGUGAACAAUCUCUUUGGUGCUUUUGUUUUCUUCUUCCCUCCCCUUUUAUCUUGUGAUUGUAUUUUUGAGUUUCACACUUGUUUCCUAGAUUAGAUCUAGGUGGUGUUUUGGUUGAUUAUUGCUUGCACACACACUUUGUUUGGUGGUUACCGCUUUCCGUUGCUCCACACAUCACUCUUUGCAUUGGUGUGGUUCGAUCUAGGUGAUCGGAAUUCACAACAAUUGGCGCCCACCGUGGGGCAACGGAGUGAUUUGGUUUAGUGAGUACCAUGGGUUCAAAGUGGGAUAUUGAGAAGUUCACCGGGCUUAACGAUUUCGGGUUAUGGAAGGUGAAGAUGCAAGCGGUGUUGAUUCAACAAAAGUGUGAGAAAGCUUUGAAGGGUGAAGGUGCGUUACCGGUCACCAUGUCACAAGAGGAGAAGACCGAGAUGGUGGACAAGGCGAGGAGUGCCAUUGUCUUGUGCCUCGGGGAUAAAGUUUUGAGGGAUGUCGCGAAGGAACCAACCGCGGCAUCGAUAUGGUCUAAGUUGGAAUCGUUGUAUAUGACCAAGUCGUUGGCUCAUAGACAUUUCCUUAAGCGACAACUCUACUCAUUCAAGAUGGUGGAGUCAAAGACCGUGAUAGAGCAAUUGGCGGAGUUCAACAAGAUCCUUGAUGAUUUGGAGAACAUUGAGGUGCAACUUGAGGACGAAGACAAGGCUAUACUCUUGUUGUGUGCUCUACCGAGAUCAUUUGAAUCCUUUAUGGAUACCAUGCUCUAUGGCAAAGAAGGCACUGUCACCUUGGAAGAAGUUCAAGUGGCUUUAAGAACCAAGGAGUUGACCAAGUCUAAGGACUUGAGAGCGGAUGAAAACAGUGAAGGCCUUAGUGUUUCAAAGGGGAAUGGUGGAGGUAGAGGCAACCGAGGAGGCUCAAAGAGAGGAAACAAGGAUAAUUAUAAGUGCUUUAAGUGUCACAAGUUGGGACACUUCAAGAGGGAUUGUCCGGAGGAAGAUGAGAGCUCCGCGCAAGUUGUGUCCGAGGAGUAUGGAGAUGUGGGUGCUUUGAUGGUGAGUUGUUGGGAGGGAGGUGAAGGUGAGGGUUCUCACCUUGGUAUUGAUUCCUUGUAGAGUGGUUCGUCUGGAGAGACGUUAAACACUCAACGUCAGCCUGGAGAGGCAGUGGUGAGAAUACUUAUGGUUAGUCUGGAGAGGCGGUGGUAACAAUACUCGUGAUCAACCUUUGAGGUGGAGUUGCAAAGUGGAAGCAUAGUGGAAGUACUCAUUUGGAAGUUGAGGUAGAGAAAGUUCAACUUGAGGUGGAGUUGAUGACACCGGGGAAUGGUAUGACUAUGGAGGCUUUGGGAGUUUAUGCUCUAGUUGUGAGCAUGUGAAUUCUUCAUGAGGACGGGAGGUAUUCCAGGGUUUGAAGAAUGUAUGGGGUGGCUUGUGUGAUUACCUAAAAGACCAAGGGUGAUCGGAUGCAAGGUGAUCUUCGAGGAGGCGGGAGACGUUUCGUGGUUGAAGAUGGCUUGGUGAAGACUUGUGGAGCAACUUGGUAGAGUUGGAUGCAAGGGAAAAGAAUGGUGAGAUUGGUGGUUGAUGGUUAAAGUGGCAUCAUCACCAAAUUAGAAGUCAAGGUGGAGAAAUGUUGAGAUUGUCUUCAAAUUUGUGGUCUGGAAGAACAGGGAAAUCGUGACACGAUUUCGGGGUGCCGUGAGCUAGGUUGCAGGGUGCAAAAUCGUGUCACGAUUGUGGGAAAUCGUGACACGAUCGUGAAACUUGCUCGUUAAGUAUCCUUGAUAAGGACUGGUCGUUUCUUGGGUGGUACGCGGAUCGUGACACGAUUUGAAAAAUCGUGACACGAUUUCAACAGAGGAAGACUAGUAUAAAGUGUUCUUGUGCAGAUUUGAAGAAAGGGUUGGAAGAGAGAGAGACUUGGGAAAUCAAAGGGAGUAACUCUAGGGUUUAGGGUUCUUUGAUUAGAGUAUCUCUUGGGUUGAAAACAUGGGAAACACCUUGUAAAGAGAGAAUCAUUGAGUGUCUUGGUGAGAUUGGGAAAAGGGUAGAAAUUAGGGUUCUUUGUGAGGGAAAACGUGAAAUCCCUUUCUAAUUCCGUCACUAAAUUUUGCGACCAUGAAAUUUGUGAGGAAUUUCAUUUUUUCCGUCACUAAUUUUGCUUUUUCUGAUAGUGAAUAUCAAAAGUUAAAUAUAUUUAAAAAACAUAUAAUUUUUUAGAGGAAUAUAAUAUACAUUUUAUCAUACAAAUACAUGAUAUCAUUUGUGUCUAUCAUAUGAUGCCAACAAAGCUGACCCUAAGCAUUUACUUAAUCCAGUUUAGAAUGAGCAUCGUUUUAACAAAAAAUUAUUUUAAAAUAAAUGACAUUCAUACUUUUCAAUGUUCUAUUAAUUUUUUUCAAUAAUACCCUUUAAUUAUUAUGCACAGUACUGUCAAAGUACCAGCAAAUGCACCAAUAGUUUGCAAAGCUAUUUUAGUAAAAGUGUUAUGUCUAUAAACAAUAUUAUUGUAUUUCUUAAUAUAUGUGUGUAAUAACCUGAAACGACGCUCAUUUUAAAAUGGAAGGAGUAUCUUGUACUAAUUACUCCAUCUGCUCCUAUAUAUAAGCUCUGAUUUGACAAAAAUUUAUCUCUAAAUAAAAAUCUCUUUUCAAAUUACUAGAUGCAUUUAUUUAUUUUUCCUUAACAUACCUCAAAUCUCUUUCUAAACCCUUAUUUCAGCCCCCUCUAUCUCUCUCUCUCUCUCUCAAAGUUUGCUCUGAUACAAGGUCUAUAUUUAUAGUAAAAGUCUUGCUUAAAAUCUGUAACAAAUCUGCUUAAAAUCUGUAUCAAAUCUGCACCCAAAAAUAUGUUUCUGUUAUUCGCCGCCAGCGCACCAUCGUGCCACGAUUUUUCCAGUGCAUUGCCUAAAAACUGAAACCUCUCCAAUCGUGCCACGAUGCCCUUCAAUCGUGCCACGAUUAAGCAGAAACCUGAUUUUAAGUUAAUUCUCACACUCACAUUUGUUUCUUUUGUUGUACUUUCCGUUGGCAUUAGACAGUUAACUUUGUAACUUUGUAACUUUGUUGAGAGGUUCUUUCUGCACACCUUGUGCGAGAUGAACCUCUCUUAGUGUUUAAUAUAAUCUCAUUUUGAUUUCUUAAAAAAAAAACAAAAAAAUUUCAUAGGAAUGUGAUCAUGUCCUUGCUUUUCAUAUUAAAUGUAUUUUGUUGGUAUACUUUGAUGUUAUGACUAAUUUAUUACUUGUGCAUGUUUUUUUUUUUUUUUUGAGGAAUACUUGUGCAUGUUUGUUCUACACUUAUUGUACCUUUAACAUGAUUCGAUUAUUCACAAUGCGCAAUUUGUUCUGGCGCUUACUGGCACGCAAUAUGUGACAUUCUGGUGAUGUUUAGAGUCUUUGUUUUUUUUUUACAAAAGGCGUAAUUUGUAACGUCUGACACAUGAUGAACAUAUUUAUUUGGAGAACUUCUCCGUUAUGAUAGGCGACUUUAGUUUGGGACAACUUUGUUAUUUUUAUCAAGCUAUUUUAAGAUCACUUUCCGAGAUUCUCUAUUAUUCAAGGUUAAAGUUUUCUGGAAUUUUAUGCCUCAUUUACUUUGCGAAAACAUUUUUUAUUCUCUUUUUCUAAAAUAGAUAUUCAUUUAAAUUUGCUUAUAAGAAGAUGUGAAACUCUUAGAACCGAAACAUUGUGAUGGAAAGAAGUUGAAAAGCACUGCAUAUGAUGCAUAUUUGGAAAUAUUAAAAACAAUUUUUUGACAUUUUCAUUUGUUCCACAAAAACGCACACUGCACACAAUUGUUUACUACAUGAGUAUUCAUAUGUUUGUUUGGAAGUAAAAUUAACACAAAUUUUAGAAUAUGAAAAUAUAAAAUGUUUUUACAAAGAAAUAUAGUCACAUGUGUCGAACAUAUUUAUCUU
This 10686-nucleotide long non-coding RNA is filed under the name Medicago truncatula (barrel medic). Its description in RNAcentral is "long non-coding RNA (MTRU_LNC000243)". Lineage: Eukaryota; Viridiplantae; Streptophyta; Magnoliopsida; Fabales; Fabaceae. The record is from RNAcentral.